Molecule: ribosomal RNA, 316 nt
Filed under: uncultured bacterium
Lineage: Bacteria
Description: bacterial SSU rRNA
Rfam family: Bacterial small subunit ribosomal RNA
Source: RNAcentral
GAUGAACGCUGGCGGCGUGCUUAACACAUGCAAGUCGAGCGAAGCACUUUGAAUUUUUCGGAAUGAGAAGUGACUGAGCGGCGGACGGGUGAGUAACGCGUGGGUAACCUGCCUCAUACAGGGGGAUAACCGGCGGAAACGGCGACUAAUACCCCAUAUGAUGUGAUGCUGCAUGGCAUCGCAUUGAAAGAUUCAUCGGUGGCGGAUAGGCUCGCGGGGACAUUAGCUAGACGGCGGGGCAACGGCCCACCGUGGCGACGAUGUCUAGGGGUUCUGAGAGGAAGACCCCCCACACUGGGACUGAGACACGGCCCAG